Dreissena polymorpha is the source of this 1608-nucleotide long non-coding RNA. RefSeq lists it as uncharacterized. The transcript has 3 exons. The record is from RefSeq and is a predicted model, not a curated record. NCBI's taxonomy places the organism in Eukaryota, Metazoa, Mollusca, Bivalvia, Myida, Dreissenidae.
GGUUACAUUACACUAAAUCAUUGUGUAUCCCUCCGUGGUCCAUUCGAAAGUAGUGCCUAUUUCUAAAGAGUUCCUUUUCUCUUCUUGAAUAUAAGCCAUUUAACAAUGUGAGACAUGUCUUUUGUGGUUAUUUGUAAUAUCCUGUAUGUGUCUGGAGUACUUUGAUGCCUUGGAUUGGAAGCUAACUUAAAAGAUGAACUUUUGAGGGUGUGUUUUCUAUUGUGUGGGGCUUUUGUCGAAAUUAGGAUUCCGAAACGCGUUUUUCUACGGUGGGUUCAUUCGACAGCGAUUUACUUUCUUAGAAGUUGCGAGACGGUAUGUUUUUGAUUGCAAUUAUUGGAAGAUGACAGAUCCAUCUUUAAAAUGAUACCAGGUUCGGAAAAAUUGAUACGUCGGAAAGGCAAGAAAAAUGCUGUGAAAGUUGUCAGUUUUAUAAUGGGACCCUAUGGGAAUCGGAAUUAGUGUAAUAUAACCUUUAAAAAGCGCAUUUACUGCAAUGUCAAGGUCACGUGGAUUCGUCUGCAAGCGAGACAAGUAGAAAAUGAAUUUUAAUGAAUGUUUUGAUGAUUUGGGUGCUAAAAUAGAUGAGAGAUGUCAAUAUUUUGGUCCAAAUGGAUGUUUAAGGUGGUUUUGGACUGUUCCGGAUGGGUGGGGGACCUGGUAUGGACAAGUAAGGGUAACAUUUCCAACAAAUCUUAAAUGUAAAUAUUAUUAUGUCCCUAGAUUGAAGUUUCAGGUGGAGAGCAAGAUGAAAAAUAUGCCAAAUUACAUGCAUGCAGCCCAUUUAUGCCAUUUUUCUCUUUGUUUGUAGGCCUGACCGUUUGUCCUUGAGCCGUCGAUGGUCAACAAUCCGCUAGCUGUCUUGCUCUGACUGGUGCACUGGACAUGAUUUCAAUAGUUAGCCAGACCAUGAUUGAGCUUAAGGAUUGUGCUGCGGAUGCAGCCUGUGCAGUUCCGGGAGAAAGUCACUGUCUUGGGCAAUGCGGUCUGGUAUCAGGUCUGGAUGAUCCUGGCCUGACUGCGGGUUUGUGUACACCUCAAUCCGACUCUGUGUCCUGAACAGAGGCCGCAGUGGUGCAGCGCUUGUGGACGUUCCAUCAACAUCCUGAAAGGUCAACACUACACCCAGCUGGGAAAAUUGAUCCUGAUAGUCAUCCCCAGGUAGUGGAAUGAAUGUACACUGAACUACAGAGGAAUCACACCCAAAUGACUUUCCUGCCACGACAUUAGUGUGGCCACUCGCGUAGGAAUUCCUUAGCAAACGUGCUCUUUUGCAUGGUGACUGUGGGCAUUUUUGCAAAACUUACGCUUUCAACACUGGAUUUUAAAGAGAAUACUUAAUAAAAUGUCGCUAACAGGACUUAUUUAUAUGAGAGAGACUAUCUGGAUGCGCAUUAAGUGUCACUUUGUGUCGUAAGCUGUUGAAGGAGCGCUUUGCGCCUUUUUAAGUGUUAAUUUUGGGUAGCCGGCUUGUAUCGGCUUGAAAGCUGCAAAUUAUGCCUCUCAUCAUAAUAGCAUUAAUUUUUGUAAUUGCAAUGUGUAUGUUUAGAUUGUAAGUGAAGCUUUUAAUAAUAAUUUUCUUAAAAAACAUGAUUUUAUAUGCUGUCA